This 240-nucleotide unclassified non-coding RNA is filed under the name soil metagenome. RNAcentral describes it as "partial contains 5.8S ribosomal RNA, internal transcribed spacer 2, and large subunit ribosomal RNA". The record is from RNAcentral.
AACGGUCUAUACCUGCGGUACCUGCGGAGGGAUCAUUAAUGAGAAACUGCCCCUCGCGGGUAGAUCUCCCACCCUUUGUAAACUUACCUUUGUUGCUUUGGCAGGCCCGUCUCCGGACCGCCGGCUUCGGCUGGCCAGUGCCUGCCAGAGGAUUCUAAAACUCUGUCUGUCAGUGCUGUCUGAGUCUAUAUACAAUCGUUAAAACUUUUAACAACGGAUCUCUAGAUCGGAAGAGCACAC